Mus musculus (house mouse) is the source of this 1848-nucleotide long non-coding RNA. RefSeq annotates it as RIKEN cDNA 2610035D17 gene. The transcript is spliced from 3 exons. The record is from RefSeq and is marked predicted. NCBI's taxonomy places the organism in Eukaryota, Metazoa, Chordata, Mammalia, Rodentia, Muridae.
AGAGCUCAGUGGUGGCGCAGAAAGUGUUCACUUCUUCUGUUUCGGGCUGUACGCUGUGGUUCUGCGCCUCCAGGGCUUUGCUGCCUGGCGAGCGUCCUCCCUGUACCACAGGAUCCUUGCCCGACUACAAACCCGAGGCUUCUAUUAGGAUAGUCUGGAUUCGCCAUAGGGGUUUCUCCUAGCGCGGAUUGUGUGUUUGCGUUGGCGAUGCUCAUAGAAGAAAGGCGCAGAGCUGUACGAGGAGGCGGGAUGCACGGGUCAGAGCCCUCGGUGGCCUCCGCCCGCUGCUCUUGGCGCCGGUCCGCUCCUGGAGAUAGCGCGGCAGCCGCCUGGGAGGCGAAGCGCGUAAUCUCCGCGCUACCCACGCGGGGCCGCGGCGUGGUGGCCGCACUUUGGCUUUGGGCGCUGGAUGGACAGUGGGGUAAAGGGUUGGGGUUCCCCUAACGUGGAUUACUUGGUGCUUAUCAACUGGAUUUAGAAGACUCUCGACCUGGUCUCCAUCAUCCGUGGGUUGUCUUUCCAUCUCCCAGCCGCUCUUUCACCUGGAGGUGAAACCAGAGCUUCUGCCUGCAUGGAACAAGAGCAAGAGAAAGGCCGAGGAGACUGACCUGCUUAUCCAUGCUACUUAUCAGGAACUGUGGAACCAUGGAGAACAUGACCCUGGCCCUCCCUUCAGGAUCUGCCUGAGAUCUGGCUGCCUCUUGAGACACUAGAGCCCUGGAUUCAAUUGCGGAACAUUAUGUUGGAGAAUAUAAACACUUCUAGACUGUGCCGGCAUUUGGGAAGGAAUAGUCUGUUUUGACUUGAAUGAACAAAGACAUACGUCUCUGGGCCUGGGGAAGGCUUACCAGCUCAGCUCAUCUACUGUCUGGUGGCAAACAUGUCCUGGGUACUGCCACUACCCAGGACACUCUUCCUCACUCUGUCCCUGUCCAGUUACCGCACCCUUCCCUGUCUGACCCCGCCUCCUGUGCCCACUCGCCUCUGGACCCAGAGAUUCUUCUUGUUUGCUCUAUCAUCCUUGAGCCGGAUACAGGGUGAAUAGUUAACCACACUUGGGUUGAAUGGGAUCUUGAUUCUUAUUUCUGUUCCUUGGAAAGAGGGGUCAGACUCGGUGCGUGGCACCCGGCCUGGAAGCAGCACAAGACUCCAGAGUGAUACAUGAUCUGCCUGGAUGGUCCCAGGGGCUCUUUGGAGGUCAGAGCAAGAGGAGCAGCCUGAGCAGGGGGGCUGAGGAGGGCCGGCACUGGAUCACACGCAGGCGUAUGUCUGGAUAGGCAGAGAGGAACCCACUUUUCAUUCCCUCUUCUGUGACACAAAUGCAAGGAACUUUGAAGACACUCUUCGGAGGUUGCAAUCGGAGAUCAGCUUAUCCAAGGGCUUCAUGUCUGAGCUCUGUUGGUCGUGCCUCCUGAGGACCUCUUUCCUCUACUGUAUGCUGAUGACACACCCAUCCGAUGGGAGCUGGAGCCUUGUCUGGUCCUUUCCUCUAUGACCCCACGUGUACAGUUGGAAAUCCUUCCUAAUCAUGCCUUGAUUCCCCCUUUUCGACUACACUCAAAGAUGUUUGAGCUGUUUUAUUUGCAAAAUGGAUGGACAGUUUGUUUAUAUAAAACAAUCCCAGCUUCCUUGUGCUCUAUCUGGUGUGUUUGUAUGGCUCUUCAGUGACUUUAAAGUGGAGCAUUGACCUUGGCCUCUUUGAUUCUCCAUGGUGGAAUAGAGAAGACCUCUUGAGGAUGCUUAAUGUUGCUGAGAUCUUAAGAAGGCUUGCAGACUUCCUCUUCCUCCCUCCUUCUCCCACCUCCUCCUUCCCUAAGCAGCCUCUGCAUUGUAUAAAUUCCUUUAUAU